Molecule: long non-coding RNA, 216 nt
Organism: Cynara cardunculus var. scolymus (artichoke)
Lineage: Eukaryota; Viridiplantae; Streptophyta; Magnoliopsida; Asterales; Asteraceae
Exons: 2
Source: RefSeq, a predicted model, not a curated record
CUGUCCAAGGUAGGAUUGGAGGAAAGCGUUGGUGGGUUAUGGGUGGAGAGCCAUUCAGAGCUGUGGUUCUAAAGAUGGAAGGGUCAUCUCCUGCACCAUCAUAACAGGUUGUGCUCUGAAAUCAUUGCAUGCGUAUCAGGAACCAUAAGCUCAAACUAGAUGUCGUCUACAUACAUUCAAUCAAAAUAAAUGAUUCGAAAGAAGCAACUCAACGUU